Molecule: ribosomal RNA, 413 nt
Filed under: uncultured beta proteobacterium
Lineage: Bacteria; Pseudomonadati; Pseudomonadota; Betaproteobacteria
Description: bacterial SSU rRNA
Rfam family: Bacterial small subunit ribosomal RNA
Source: RNAcentral
GAGUUUGAUCGUGGCUCAGAUUGAACGCUGGCGGCAUGCCUUACACAUGCAAGUCGAGCGGCAGCGCGGGGGCAACCCUGGCGGCGAGCGGCGAACGGGUGAGUAAUACAUCGGAACGUGUCCUGUCGUGGGGGAUAACCAGUCGAAAGAUUGGCUAAUACCGCAUGACCUCGUAAGAGAAAAGCGGGGGACCGUAAGGCCUCGCGCGACUGGAGCGGCCGAUGUCGGAUUAGCUAGUUGGCGGGGUAAAAGCCCCACCAAGGCGACGAUCCGUAGCUGGUUUGAGAGAACGACCAGCCACACUGGGACUGAGACACGGCCCAGACUCCUACGGGAGGCAGCAGUGGGAAUUUUGGACAAUGGGGGCAACCCUGAUCCAGCCAUGCCGCGUGUGUGAAGAAGGCCUUCGGUUG